This 253-nucleotide ribosomal RNA is filed under the name uncultured bacterium. RNAcentral's name for it is "partial 16S ribosomal RNA". It matches the Rfam family "Bacterial small subunit ribosomal RNA", at positions 524 to 776 of the family's 1533-position model. The record is from RNAcentral.
UACGGGGGGGGCAAGCGUUGUUCGGAGUUACUGGGCGUAAAGGGCUCGUAGGCGGCCAACUAAGUCAUACGUGAAAUCCCUCGGCUUAACCGAGGAACUGCGUCUGAUACUGGAUGGCUCGAGUUUGGGAGAGGGAUGCGGAAUUCCAGGUGUAGCGGUGAAAUGCGUAGAUAUCUGGAGGAACACCGGUGGCGAAGGCGGCAUCCUGGACCAACACUGACGCUGAGGAGCGAAAGCCAGGGGAGCAAAUGGG